CCGCCGCCGCCGCCGCCGCCGCCGAGGGCCGGGGCAGCAGCUGGCUGCGGACCCGCGGGCUCCGAGGCCCGCACCUCCAAGUCCUGUCACUCAAGCUCCCGCUGUGUGCUUUCAGGUGGCUUUGUAAUCUGGGCUCGCCAGGGAGCGUCCAGGCAACGAUUAUGUCAGUGGCGAGAUGACAGCUAGGAGACACCCAAAGGGAGAAGCCCAGCCUCCUUCAUGAAGGUGUUGCUGGAGUUUGAUUUGCCAACCGACAGCCCCCUUGGAGCCUCUCUGAUCAUCAGACCGGAGAGGGAGGUGAAAUUUUUGCUCAGAUCGGCCCGCCAGUGUCUCCCCGAGUGCUAAGAGACGAGAAGAGGAGUGGUUCAAGUUUGCAGCGGUGGAGAGAAAUUGGUGCUGAGGGCGGAGAGAGGAAUCCUUUCUGGCCAGUGCUUUCUACAAGCAGAGGUGGUGAGGGUGGAUAAUCAAAAGGGGAGAAACGCAGGAAGAUCAGAUUCUGUAGAGUCAAGGGUCUCAGCGAAAGACCAAUCUUAGGCUUACUAAGACCCCGCCCCGACUAGGAAAAAACAAAAAACAAAAACAAAAAACAAAAACGCAAAUGCUACCAGGGUUUGUUAGUUCCGCACCAAAAUCAGAGGCACCUCCCUUUGCCUUGUGAUUGGCUACUUUCUCCCGUUCAGAACAGUCUCCUCACCGUAUUGGCCUAUGAGCAGAUAGAACCUGCCUUCAAGAAUAGUCAGCAAACCAAUUAGGUUUGGGGCUCAAGGCAUUUCGGGAAGUGUAGUUCUCUGGAGUUCUGUGGUCCAAGAAGAUGCCUUCCACUUGGAACUUCUAAAACUUUGCUUUGUAGUUUCAUACUUGUUGAAAUAGGAACUUAAUUCAUCAAAGGGAGGGAACGGAAUAAAACAAAUUUGAAGACUUUC
Molecule: non-coding RNA, 923 nt
Organism: Peromyscus maniculatus bairdii (prairie deer mouse)
Lineage: Eukaryota; Metazoa; Chordata; Mammalia; Rodentia; Cricetidae
Source: RefSeq, a predicted model, not a curated record